RNAcentral lists this ribosomal RNA (641 nucleotides) under uncultured fungus. Its description in RNAcentral is "eukaryotic LSU rRNA". The stretch from base 208 to 361 matches the Rfam family "5.8S ribosomal RNA". Lineage: Eukaryota; Fungi. The record is from RNAcentral.
CAUUAAUGAGUUGUGAAGGGGUUUGAUGCUGGCACCCAAAUGCAUGUGCUCGCCCUGACAAUCAUCUUCCAAACACCUGUGCACAUUUUUGAGGGAAUUUUGAGUUGAUUACCAUUUUUGGGUGAUUUUCUUGUAUUCCCUUAAAUUACUAUACGCUGAUAACAAUGCUGAACGUGUUUUGUGCCGCAAGGCCAUUAAUAAUAUAUNAACUUUUAACAACGGAUCUCUUGGCUCUCGCAUCGAUGAAGAACGCAGCGAAAUGCGAUAAGUAAUGUGAAUUGCAGAAUUCAGUGAAUCAUCGAAUCUUUGAACGCACCUUGCGCUCCCUGGUAUUCCGGGGAGCACGCCUGUUCGAGUGUCGUGAAAUUUCUCAAGCUUGGAUGGCCUUUAUGUCUGUCCUUAGCCUUGGUUGUUGGGCUUUGCCGUGUCCUUCAUUGGGACGGCUGGCCUUAAAUGCAUUAGCUGAUCCUUGUGUGGCACUGGUUCUACUCAGCGUGAUAAUAGUCUGAUCGCUGAGGACAUCUUUCGGGAUGGCCAGUCCUCAUUUGGGUUGCUUCUAAACUUGGUGUUGCAAGUUAUUUCAAUCUGUAAUGCCACUUUUCAGCUUUGACCUCGAAUCAGGUGGGACUACCCGCUGAACU